UACCGGCGGCUCGAGUGGUGGCCGAUAUUAUUGGGUCUAAAGGGUCCGUAGCCGGCUCCGCAAGUCCCGCGCGAAAUCCGGCGGCUCAACCGUCGGACGUGCACGGGAUACUGCGGGGCUUGAGACCGGGAGAGGUGGGAGGUACCCGGGGGGGAGGAGUGAAAUCCUGUUAUCCUUCGGGGACCACCGGUGGCGAAGGCGUCCCACCAGAACGGCUCUGACGGUGAGGGACGAAAGCCAGGAGC
Molecule: ribosomal RNA, 245 nt
Filed under: uncultured archaeon
Lineage: Archaea
Description: partial 16S ribosomal RNA
Rfam family: Archaeal small subunit ribosomal RNA
Source: RNAcentral